GUGCUCACUUUGGCAGCACAUAUACUAAAAUUAGAAUGCUGAAGAGAAGACCAGCAUGGUCCCUGUACAAGGAUGAUAUGCAAAUUCAUGAAGUGUUCCAUAUUUUA
Molecule: small nuclear RNA, 107 nt
Organism: Arvicola amphibius (Eurasian water vole)
Lineage: Eukaryota; Metazoa; Chordata; Mammalia; Rodentia; Cricetidae
Source: RefSeq, a predicted model, not a curated record